GAGGAGGAAGCUUUAACUUGAAACAAAUUGCCUAAAAACAUACCUCAGUACAAAGCUCUACGUUAGAUCCCCAACAGAGGGAAAAGCCUGUACGCCAAAGAAAGCAGAAUAAUAAAAAAAAUUUCUUAAACAUCGCAGCAGCUGUGGUUUGAGCUUGCCAUUUCUUGGGCAAGAGGAUGCUGAGCUGAACCGGAUACUUGCAGAAGUAACACAGCAGGACACCUACUCCAGGGACUCGAGCUUCCCAAAAUGAAAUCACCAGGGAGUUGGUAGUAUCUGGGUUAGACACCAGCUUCAUCAAGAAUUUGCCUUUUCUUAGCCUUAGUUUCCCCACAACGAUAAAAUAUAACUGAUACUAUCUUCCGGCUCUUGGGGUUGCUGAAAGGAUAAAACGGCGUAACGAAGCUGCUACUGAACACAAAGCUUGACACUGAGAAACGUAUUGGUUGGCAAAAGGACUACAACAGCACACCCGACGUACCCGGGCUGCUCCAACACACCCACUUCCUGGCGCCCCUUCACCUCAAACUCCCUCAGCCUAACGCGGAUCCUUCCGCGCCGGGUCACUUCCGGGAGACAAAGGACGCAGAAUACCCGGAUGCAACUGUCAUGGCUGCUCCCAGUGAAGAGUCCCGCCUCCAGUGAAGAGUCCCGCCUCCCGACCCCCGGGGAGAUCGAGUCUGGGAUUUCCCAGAUGGCGCUCUGAGCGUGGGCUUCAAGAAAGGGGAUCCAGACCUGAAGGCUGAGACUUCCGGGCGGCAGGGUGCCCACAAACAGUUCCAGGAACUGUACACGCUUCCUACUAACUUGCCAGUCUGUAGCUGGGCUGGCAGUGCGACAGUAUCCUGGGAGGAAGGGAAGGCCAAAGGCUCCAACGGAGAGAGAUUUUCACUUAAACUCCCAGAAUUGAAGAGCCGACCUAAAAAAAGCUUAAAGGAGAGGGGAGUGUGGGCCUUUACCUCCUUUUCUGAACAUCUCAUUAUUUGA
This 987-nucleotide long non-coding RNA is filed under the name Fukomys damarensis (Damara mole-rat). Its description in RNAcentral is "lncRNA (ENSFDAG00000023902.1)". The record is from RNAcentral. Lineage: Eukaryota; Metazoa; Chordata; Mammalia; Rodentia; Bathyergidae.